ACCCUUCUGAAAAGCACUCGUUGGGUCUGUGUGCGGUGGCUCUGCGAGUUGUCGUGGAAGGGCAGAGGAAAGGCAUCGCUUUUGGGUGAAGCGGCAGCUCGUGCUGUUCGUUUCAAUCAGCGCUGUGACAUUC
Non-coding RNA from Pterocles gutturalis (yellow-throated sandgrouse), 133 nucleotides. NCBI's taxonomy places the organism in Eukaryota, Metazoa, Chordata, Aves, Pterocliformes, Pteroclidae. The record is from Rfam.